This is a non-coding RNA of Bos taurus (domestic cattle), 72 nucleotides long. Lineage: Eukaryota; Metazoa; Chordata; Mammalia; Artiodactyla; Bovidae. The record is from Rfam.
UCCUUGGUGGCUGCAUGGUAAAGAAUCUGCCUGCCGAUGCAGGAGACACGGGUUCAAUCCCUGUUCUGGGAA